CGGAUGGCUGUCUAAAAAAUCUAACGGUCUUCAAAAUGAUAUCCAGUUGGUUGAGAAACUACCUUUUUGGUGCAACUUAUUACCUGGAUGUCUAACCUUCAUCGGCGUUACUCUUGCUUCAAACGAAAAUAACUUCAGACUUUCCUGACCAGAAAAACAUGUUUAUAAUGACAUUCGGUCAUUUUCACUUUCAGAUGAUAACUUGGCCUUUGGAAAGAAAGCAUCACAGAGUUCGACCCGAGCCUUCAAUGGAGUAUCAGCUGGAGCCGAAAAGGGUGUGGAUGGUUCCGUUACUGACUGCGCUGUAACAAACCCGGAACAACAGCCAUGGUGGCAGGUGGACCUGGCAGGUUACUACAGGGUCAGCCGGGUCAGAGUUAUAAACCGCUUCGAUGUGGACACAGCAGCACCGACCAGUGCUCCUGGAUGUGGAGGUAUCCUGACGGCUCCCCCUGGAGGUACUGUGACGUCACCCAACUACCCCGAGAACUAUGGCAACGAUGAGACUUGUGAGUGGACGAUCACCGUGCCCGAAGGAAGCAGGGUUCUUCUCACGUUCGGCAGUUUCAACCUGGAGAACAGUUGGGACUAUUUGACUAUAUACGAUGGAGGCAGUGAUAAUGCUACAGAACCGCAAAGGUUAACAGGUAACGCAAAACCAGACCCCAUCACCAGUACAUCUAACCAGAUGUUCGUGAGGUUUACAUCUGACGGUAGUGUCACGGCUCCGGGGUUCCAGUUCU
Long non-coding RNA from Branchiostoma floridae (Florida lancelet), 743 nucleotides. RefSeq lists it as uncharacterized. The transcript is spliced from 3 exons. The record is from RefSeq and is a predicted model, not a curated record. NCBI's taxonomy places the organism in Eukaryota, Metazoa, Chordata, Leptocardii, Amphioxiformes, Branchiostomatidae.